Molecule: ribosomal RNA, 302 nt
Filed under: uncultured euryarchaeote
Lineage: Archaea; Methanobacteriati; Methanobacteriota
Description: bacterial SSU rRNA
Rfam family: Archaeal small subunit ribosomal RNA
Source: RNAcentral
UGUCAGGCUUUCAGGGGAUACUGUCUGGCUAGAGGCCGGGAGAGGUGAGAGGUACUUCAGGGGUAGGGGUGAAAUCUUGUAAUCCUUGAAGGACCACCAGUGGCGAAGGCGUCUCACCAGAACGGACCUGACGGCAAGGGACGAAAGCUAGGGGCACGAACCGGAUUAGAUACCCGGGUAGUCCUAGCCGUAAACGAUACUCGCUAGGUGUCGGCCACGGUGCGACCGUGGUCGGUGCCGUAGGGAAGCCGUGAAGCGAGCCACCUGGGAAGUACGGUCGCAAGGCUGAAACUUAAAGGAAU